Molecule: unclassified non-coding RNA, 241 nt
Filed under: fungal sp.
Lineage: Eukaryota; Fungi
Description: partial internal transcribed spacer region
Rfam family: Eukaryotic small subunit ribosomal RNA (bases 1-46)
Source: RNAcentral
AAGUCGUAACAAGGUUUCCGUAGGUGAACCUGCGGAAGGAUCAUUAGAAAUCACCAGCCAAGCUGGUAUAAAAUUCUAUCCACCUUGUGUGCAAACAAUGGAAAAAGAGAGAAAAUUGGAUACUUUUUGUACCCAACUUCUCUAAAAUUCUUUAUAAACUCCAUCAAAUUUUGAAUGAAAACAUUUUUUUUUUUUUAAUAAAAAUAUUAUACAACUUUCAACAACGGAUCUCUUGGCUCUC